Molecule: RNA transcript, 1372 nt
Organism: Cucurbita moschata (crookneck pumpkin)
Lineage: Eukaryota; Viridiplantae; Streptophyta; Magnoliopsida; Cucurbitales; Cucurbitaceae
Gene name: late embryogenesis abundant protein 6-like
Exons: 2
Source: RefSeq, a predicted model, not a curated record
AUUUUUAUUCUUUCACCUUCUUUAAUCUCUCUGUACCAUUGUCAGUGAUCAAUCGAGGCUGAUGUUUUAUCUUUUAGUGCUGGUUGCUUGCAGUUUUUUUUAACGGAAUUAGGAAUAGAUAGUGUUCUUCUAUGAUGCGAUUGAAUACUGGAACGUAGAGCUUGAUCUCAGGUUGAGUAAGGAGGAACAGUCACCUGCACUGGCAACCGUGACUGGCUCUAGAUUUCAGAAACGAUAUUCAAAUAGACCCAUAGUUGAGUUUGAGAUUGCUGCUCAAGAGCAAAUGAAAAUAACGGAACUGCGUCUUGCAAAGCUUUUCUCGACCAAACAACAAAAUACCUCUUCAACCUGGGAGAGCUUGUGAGAUCCUACGUUGGUUGGAGUGGGAAACAAAGCAUUUCUUGUAAGGGUGUGGAAACCUCUCCCUGGCAUACGUGUUUUAAGACCUUGAAGGGAAGUGCGAAAAGGAAGGUCCAAAGAGAACAAUAUCGGCUAGUGGUAGGCUUGAGCUGUUACAAAUGGUAUCAUCUGGGUGGUGUGCCGAUAAGGAUGGGCAGUCCAAGAAGGAAGGUCCAAAGAGAACAAUAUCUGAUAGCGGUAGGCUUGAGCUGUUACAAAUGGUAUCAUUCUGGGUGGUGUGUCGAUAAGGAUGGGCAGUCCAAGAAGGAAGGUCCAAAGAGAACAAUAUCCACUAGCGGUAGGCUUGAGCUGUUACAAAUGGUAUCAUUCUGAGUGGUGUUCCCAUAAGGAUGGCCCCCAAGGGGUAGAUUGUGAGAUCUCACAUUAGUCGGAGAGAAGAACGAAAAUGGAAACCCGCAUGCACGUUUUAAAGCCUUGAGGAAAAUUUUUAUAAGGUGUUGAAACCUCUCGGCAUGCACGUCUUAAAGCCUUGAGGAAAAUCUUUAUAAGAUGUUGAAACUUCUCGGCAUGCACGUUUUAAAAGCCUUGAGGGAAAGCUCAAAAGUAAAAAUACAAAGAGAACAAUAUCACAGGGAAAGCAUUGGAUUGGGGUCAGAGCUAUCCUCCGAAGGUAUCAACGGAAAUUAGUUUUCUCCCUUACUCUUCCAAACUGAUUCAGGAUUCUCAUUCAGUUACCGUUUCCUAAACAUUAGGGGGAAAAUGUUGUUAUUGGAUCUUGAUUAAUUAUGAAAUAAAAAGCCAAUUAAUUUCACUUCCAUCUUUUUAUUGCUUAAAAAAUUUAUCCUAAUAUAAACACUUUUCACUUAAGAGCCGGAGGAAAUGGGCUUGAAUUGAACCACAAAUCUUUCCUAGAAUUAAUGCUCAUUCUACAAUUGUCAACGUAACAGCCAAGAGGGCGAAUGCAAAUGAACUAUAAAUAUGGCAAUGAACUUGGGUUUAAUCAUUACUAUUC